AGAGUGAACGCUGGCGGCAGGCCUAACACAUGCAAGUCGAGCGGCAGCGCAGCAGUAGCAAUACUGUGGGCGGCGAGCGGCGGACGGGUGAGGAAUACAUCGGAAUCUACCCAGUCGUGGGGGAUAACGUAGGGAAACUUACGCUAAUACCGCAUACGACCUGAGGGUGAAAGCAGGGGAUCGCAAGACCUUGCGCGAUUGGAUGAGCCGAUGUCCGAUUAGCUAGUUGGUGAGGUAAAGGCUCACCAAGGCGAACGAUCGGUAGCUGGUCUGAGAGGAUGAUCAGCCACACUGGAACUGAGACACGGUCCAGACUCUACGGGAGCAGCAG
This 331-nucleotide ribosomal RNA is filed under the name uncultured soil bacterium. Its description in RNAcentral is "bacterial SSU rRNA". It matches the Rfam family "Bacterial small subunit ribosomal RNA", at positions 26 to 354 of the family's 1533-position model. The record is from RNAcentral.